CGCGUGUACUGGUCCGGCCGGGCCUUUCCCUCUGUGGAACCCCAUGCCCUUCACUGGGCGUGGCGGGGAAACAGGACUUUUACUGUGAAAAAAUUAGAGUGCUCCAGGCAGGCCUAUGCUCGAAUACAUUAGCAUGGAAUAAUAGAAUAGGACGUGUGGUUCUAUUUUGUUGGUUUCUAGGACCGCCGUAAUGAUUAAUAGGGACAGUCGGGGGCAUCAGUAUUCAAUUGUCAGAGGUGAAAUUCUUGGAUUUAUUGAAGACUAACUACUGCGAAAGCAUUUGCCAAGGAUGUUUUCAUUAAUCAGGAACGAAAGUUAGGGGAUCGAAGACGAUCAGAUACCGUCGUAGUCUUAACCAUAAACUAUGCCGACUAGGGGUCGGACGAUGUUAUUUUUUGACUCGUUCGGCACCUUACGAGAAAUCAAAGUGCUUGGGCUCCAGGGGGAGUAUGGUCGCAAGGCUGAAACUUAAAGAAAUUGACGGAAGGGCACCACCAGGGGUGGAGCCUGCGGCUUAAUUUGACUCAACACGGGGAAACUCACCAGGUCCAGACACAAUGAGGAUUGACAGAUUGAGAGCUCUUUCUUGAUUUUGUGGGUGGUGGUGCAUGGCCGUUCUUAGUUGGUGGAGUGAUUUGUCUGCUUAAUUGCGAUAACGAACGAGACCUUAACCUGCUAAAUAGCCCGUAUUGCUUUGGCAGUACGCUGGCUUCUUAGAGGGACUAUCGG
Molecule: ribosomal RNA, 729 nt
Filed under: uncultured eukaryote
Lineage: Eukaryota
Description: SSU rRNA
Rfam family: Eukaryotic small subunit ribosomal RNA
Source: RNAcentral